GGAGCAACAAGACUAAAAAAGAGGACAACAGUGCCUGCCUUAUAUGACUAAAGCAUACACCAUUUGAUAAUACAAAAUCAAAAGGCCACAACUAAGAAGACUAAGCCAUAGAAGAUCCCAAUGUAAUAGGGGAAACAUCUAAAAAGGGAAGGAAAAAAAACUCACAAGCAUCUCCAAAUCAAGGAACAGCCAACCAAGGAAGCUCUCUAAUGAAAGAAUCCAAGAACCUGACCCCCAACAUUCCUUUUCAUUGCCUCUUCAUGAUCCAAGAUGCCUUCUGGAGUAGUAAUCACAACAUAACCCCACUGACGUGUUGGAAGUGUUCGUAAUCUGUAAGCUUCAAUAUCCUUUGCCU
RNAcentral lists this unclassified non-coding RNA (355 nucleotides) under Hevea brasiliensis (rubber tree). Lineage: Eukaryota; Viridiplantae; Streptophyta; Magnoliopsida; Malpighiales; Euphorbiaceae. The record is from RNAcentral.